This 508-nucleotide ribosomal RNA is filed under the name uncultured bacterium. RNAcentral describes it as "bacterial SSU rRNA". It matches the Rfam family "Bacterial small subunit ribosomal RNA", at positions 28 to 535 of the family's 1533-position model. The record is from RNAcentral.
GACGAACGCUGGCGGCGUGCCUAACACAUGCAAGUCGAGCGGAGUCGAUCGACGGAAGCCUUCGGGCGGAAGAUGGUUGACUUAGCGGCGGAUGGGUGAGUAACGCGUGGGCAACCUGCCUCGAAGACCGGGAUAACAGCCCGAAAGGGCUGCUAAUACCGGAUGUGGUCAAGGAUCCGCAUGGAUUUUUGAUUAAAGGGGAAACCCGUUUCGAGAUGGGCCCGCGUCCUAUCAGCUAGUUGGUGAGGUAAAAGCUCACCAAGGCGACGACGGGUAGCCGGCCUGAGAGGGUGACCGGCCACACUGGAACUGAGACACGGUCCAGACUCCUACGGGGGCAGCAGUGGGGAAUCUUCCACAAUGGGCGAAAGCCUGAUGGAGCGACGCCGCGUGAGCGAAGAAGGCCUUCGGGUUGUAAGCUCUGUCUGGAGGGACGAAGGAAGUGAGGUACCUCCGGAGGAAGCCACGGCUAACUACGUGCCAGCAGCCGCGGUAAAAGGUACUCUAU